This 605-nucleotide ribosomal RNA is filed under the name Enterococcus faecium. RNAcentral describes it as "partial 23S ribosomal RNA". It matches the Rfam family "Bacterial large subunit ribosomal RNA", at positions 124 to 732 of the family's 2925-position model. The record is from RNAcentral. Lineage: Bacteria; Bacillati; Bacillota; Bacilli; Lactobacillales; Enterococcaceae.
GAACCCAACAUCUUUAAUAGGAUGUUACGAUUGUGUGAAUACAUAGCACAUUCGAGGUAGACGCAGAGAACUGAAACAUCUAAGUACCUGCAGGAAGAGAAAGAAAAUUCGAUUCCCUGAGUAGCGGCGAGCGAAACGGGAAAAGCCCAAACCAGCAAGCUUGCUUGUUGGGGUUGUAGGACUCCAAUAUGGUAGUUCUUUCAGAUAGUCGAAUGACUUGGAAAAGUCAGUCAAAGAGGGUAAAAACCCCGUAGACGAAAUGUGGAAGACACCUAGGAGGAUCCUGAGUACGGCGGAACACGAGAAAUUCCGUCGGAAUCCGGGAGGACCAUCUCCCAAGGCUAAAUACUCCCUAGUGACCGAUAGUGAACCAGUACCGUGAGGGAAAGGUGAAAAGCACCCCGGAAGGGGAGUGAAAUAGAACCUGAAACCGUGUGCCUACAACAAGUCAAAGCCCGUUAAUGGGUGAUGGCGUGCCUUUUGUAGAAUGAACCGGCGAGUUACGAUUGCAUGCGAGGUUAAGUUGAAGAGACGGAGCCGCAGCGAAAGCGAGUCUGAAUAGGGCGUUUGAGUAUGUAGUCGUAGACCCGAAACCAUGUGAUCUA